UCUCCGUUGGUGAACCAGCGGAGGGAUCAUUACCGAGUUUACAACUCCCAAACCCAAUGUGAACGUUACCAAACUGUUGCCUCGGCGGGGUCACGCCCCGGGUGCGUCGCAGCCCCGGAACCAGGCGCCCGCCGGAGGAACCAACCAAACUCUUUCUGUAGUCCCCUCGCGGACGUUAUUUCUUACAGCUCUGAGCAAAAAUUCAAAAUGAAUCAAAACUUUCAACAACGGAUCUCUUGGUUCAG
This 245-nucleotide unclassified non-coding RNA is filed under the name plant metagenome. Its description in RNAcentral is "partial contains small subunit ribosomal RNA, internal transcribed spacer 1, and 5.8S ribosomal RNA". The record is from RNAcentral.